Molecule: ribosomal RNA, 497 nt
Filed under: uncultured bacterium
Lineage: Bacteria
Description: partial 16S ribosomal RNA
Rfam family: Bacterial small subunit ribosomal RNA
Source: RNAcentral
GAUGAACGCUGGCGGCGUGCCUAAUACAUGCAAGUCGAGCGAACAGACGAGGAGCUUGCUCCUCUGACGUUAGCGGCGGACGGGUGAGUAACACGUGGAUAACCUACCUAUAAGACUGGGAUAACUUCGGGAAACCGGAGCUAAUACCGGAUAAUAUAUUGAACCGCAUGGUUCAAUAGUGAAAGACGGUUUUGCUGUCACUUAUAGAUGGAUCCGCGCCGCAUUAGCUAGUUGGUAAGGUAACGGCUUACCAAGGCGACGAUGCGUAGCCGACCUGAGAGGAUAAACGGCCAGACGGCAACUAAAACACGGUCCAGACUACUAGUGGAGGCCGCAGUAGGGGAUCUUACACAUGGGGAGAUAGCUUGACGGUGCAACACAGCUUAAUUGAUGAAGGUAUCCGGAUAGUAAUACUCUUUUAUUGGGGAAGAAGAAAUGUGUAAGGGACUUUGCACAUCUGGACGAUAACUAUUCAGAAAGCAACGGAUAACUACGUG